This 253-nucleotide ribosomal RNA is filed under the name uncultured bacterium. RNAcentral describes it as "partial 16S ribosomal RNA". It matches the Rfam family "Bacterial small subunit ribosomal RNA", at positions 524 to 776 of the family's 1533-position model. The record is from RNAcentral.
UACGGAGGGGGCUAGCGUUGUUCGGAAUUACUGGGCGUAAAGCGCACGUAGGCGGCUUUGUAAGUUAGAGGUGAAAGCCGGGAGCUCAACUCCGGAAUAGCCUUUAAGACUGCAUCGCUAGAACGUUGGAGAGGUAAGUGGAAUUCCGAGUGUAGAGGUGAAAUUCGUAGAUAUUCGGAAGAACACCAGUGGCGAAGGCGACUUACUGGACAACUGUUGACGCUGAGGUGCGAAAGCGUGGGGAGCAAACAGG